Molecule: ribosomal RNA, 991 nt
Filed under: uncultured Campylobacter sp.
Lineage: Bacteria; Pseudomonadati; Campylobacterota; Epsilonproteobacteria; Campylobacterales; Campylobacteraceae
Description: bacterial SSU rRNA
Rfam family: Bacterial small subunit ribosomal RNA
Source: RNAcentral
CAGCAGCCGCGGUAAUACGGAGGGUGCAAGCGUUACUCGGAAUCACUGGGCGUAAAGGACGCGUAGGCGGAUUAUCAAGUCUCUUGUGAAAUCUAACGGCUUAACCGUUAAACUGCUUGGGAAACUGAUAAUCUAGAGUAAGGGAGAGGCAGAUGGAAUUCCUGGUGUAGGGGUAAAAUCCGUAGAGAUCAAGAAGAAUACCCAUUGCGAAAGCGAUCUGCUGGAACUUAACUGACGCUAAUGCGUGAAAGCGUGGGGAGCAAACAGGAUUAGAUACCCUGGUAGUCCACGCCCUAAACGAUGUAUACUAGUUGUUGCUUCGCUAGUCGAGGCAGUAAUGCACCUAACGGAUUAAGUAUACCGCCUGGGGAGUACGGUCGCAAGAUUAAAACUCAAAGGAAUAGACGGGGACCCGCACAGGCGGUGGAGCAUGUGGUUUAAUUCGAAGAUACGCGAAGAACCUUACCCGGACUUGAUAUCUAACAAAUCAUCCAGAGAUGGAAGAGUGUCUGCUUGCAGAAAUGUUAAGACAGGUGCUGCACGGCUGUCGUCAGCUCGUGUCGUGAGAUGUUGGGUUAAGUCCCGCAACGAGCGCAACCCACGUCAUUAGUUGCUAACGGUUCGGCCGAACACUCUAAUGAGACUGCCUUCGUAAGGAGGAGGAAGGUGUGGACGACGUCAAGUCAUCAUGGCCCUUAUGUCCGGGGCGACACACGUGCUACAAUGGCGUAUACAAUGAGACGCAAUAUCGCGAGAUGGAGCAAAUCUAUAAAAUACGUCCCAGUUCGGAUUGGAGUCUGCAACUCGACUCCAUGAAGCCGGAAUCGCUAGUAAUCGUAGAUCAGCCAUGCUACGGUGAAUACGUUCCCGGGUCUUGUACUCACCGCCCGUCACACCAUGGGAGUUGAUUUCACUCGAAGCCCAAAUACCAAAUCGGUUAUGGUCCACAGUGGAAUCAGCGACUGGGGUGAAGUCGUAACAAGGUAGCCGU